GGGGAUAUAUCUCAGUUGGUAGAGAGGUUGCCUAGCAUGCACAAGGUUCUGGGUUCAAACCUCAGCACCCCA
Molecule: transfer RNA, 72 nt
Filed under: Marmota monax (woodchuck)
Lineage: Eukaryota; Metazoa; Chordata; Mammalia; Rodentia; Sciuridae
Rfam family: tRNA
About the family: Transfer RNA (tRNA) molecules are approximately 80 nucleotides in length. Their secondary structure includes four short double-helical elements and three loops (D, anti-codon, and T loops).
Source: Rfam by way of RNAcentral